UUGUUGUGUAGAUAUGGAUUUCUAUGUUAAAUGUUUGUCCGUCGGUCUUAUUUAAUUAUUUAUGAUUAAUAUUUUUAUUGUUGUUAGAUGAUAUAAUAUUAAUAGUACUUUAUACAUGACUUACUUUUUUAAAAAAUACGAUGGAUGGUUAAAUGUUGGACAUAUAAACCCACAACUAUACUUAAA
RNAcentral lists this microRNA precursor (186 nucleotides) under Oryza meridionalis. Its description in RNAcentral is "MIR812 microRNA precursor family". It matches the Rfam family "MIR812 microRNA precursor family". The record is from Rfam by way of RNAcentral. Lineage: Eukaryota; Viridiplantae; Streptophyta; Magnoliopsida; Poales; Poaceae.